AGCUAGGAACAUUUUGAAAGAGAAGUACAUACACUCGUGUAAAGCUUAGCUAGCUAGGGUAAACACUAACCAUACCAACACUAUAUAUUGAAGUCGAUGUAACAACUAUACUCUAUAAUCCAUUAUUUUCCAUCUUCCUAUACUUCAAUUAUUCAAUUCAAUAACAUUACCCAAAAAUAUAUACAAACAAACACCCACUUCCCUUUUUUUUAAAUUUCAAUUUCACCCUCAAUUAAGUAAAAGCUAGAACACAAGAGAGAAUCCUGCUUCCAAAAUUACACUAUUACCCCUCCUCUCUUCUUCUUCUUCCUCUGAUUCUUUCUCUUCAUUCUUCUCCUUCUCCGUUUCUU
RNAcentral lists this long non-coding RNA (350 nucleotides) under Trifolium pratense (red clover). RNAcentral describes it as "long non-coding RNA (TPRA_LNC003872)". Lineage: Eukaryota; Viridiplantae; Streptophyta; Magnoliopsida; Fabales; Fabaceae. The record is from RNAcentral.